This 1038-nucleotide long non-coding RNA is filed under the name Salmo salar (Atlantic salmon). RNAcentral's name for it is "lncRNA (ENSSSAG00000090656.1)". The record is from RNAcentral. Lineage: Eukaryota; Metazoa; Chordata; Actinopteri; Salmoniformes; Salmonidae.
AUCAGGUAGAGAGACUCAUUCAGACCUGGGGACAUCAGGUAGAGAGACUCAUUCAGACCUGGGGACAUCAGGUAGAGAGACUCAUUCAGACCUUGGGACAUCAGGUAGAGAGACUCAUUCAGACCUGGGGACAUCAGGUAGAGAGACUCAUUCAGACCUGGGGACAUCAGGUAGAGAGACUCAUUCAGACCUGGGGACAUCAGGUAGAGAGACUCAUUCAGACCUGGGGACAUCAGGUAGGAAGAGAAAGCAGAAAUGUUUUGGCCCUCAGGACCUGAAUAAUACUUUGACAUUGAAACACAACAGCUAUACAUAACUAGGUGAAAGCAGACCUGAUGCAACACACACACACAAUAAAACACACACACACACACACACACACACACACACACAAUCAGCACACGCACACACAAUCAGCACACGCACACACACGCACACACACACACAAUAAGCACACACACACACACACACACACACAAUAAACACACACACAAUAAGCACACGCACACGCACACACACAAUAAGCACACUGUGGUAAGACUGUUUUGGGUUGCAUUUUGUCUGCAUUUAGCCAAUCUGUAACAAUCAGAAGAAUAAAAUACACAUCCAAACAUCUUGACCUUUCAACAAACAGCAAGAUGGAAAUGAACCUUGUGAAGGAAACAGCAACAUAAAGUGUUUUAAUAGGAGGUAACUGGCAGAAUAAAGGAAACUCCAACAGUGUUUUAAUAGGAGGUCGGGUCGUCCACCAGGUAACUGGCAGAAUAAAGGAAACUCCAGGUCCUCCACCAACCACCAGGUAACUGGGAGAAUAAAGGAAACUCCAACAGUGUUUUAAUAGGACGUCGGGUCGUCCACCAGGUAACUGGCAGAAUAAAGGAAACUCCAGGUCCUCCACCAGGUAACUGGCAGAAUAAAGGAAACUCCAACAGUGUUUUAAUAAGAGGUCGGGUCGUCCACCAGGUAACUGGCAGAAUAAAGGAAACUCCAACAUAGUGUUUUAAUAGGAGGUCGGGUCGUCCACCAGGUAACUGGCAG